UGAGGAAUAUUGCACAAUGGGCGCAAGCCUGAUGCAGCGACGCCGCGUGGGUGAAGAAGGUUUUCGGAUCGUAAAACCCUUUUCUGUGUGACGAGCAAGGACGGUAGCACAGGAAUAAGUCUCGGCUAACUACGUGCCAGCAGCCGCGGUAAAACGUAGGAGACAAACGUUAUCCGGAGUUACUGGGCGUAAAGGGCGUGUAGGUGGUUUUGUAAGUCUGGCGUGAAAUUUUUCGGCUUAACCGGGAAAGGUCGUCGGAUACUGCGGAACUGGAGGACGGUAGAGGCGUGUGGAAUUCCGGGUGUAGUGGUGAAAUGCGUAGAGAUCCGGAGGAACACCAGUGGCGAAGGCGACACGCUGGGCCGUACCUGACACUGAUGCGCGACAGCAUGGGGAGCAAAC
RNAcentral lists this ribosomal RNA (402 nucleotides) under uncultured bacterium. RNAcentral's name for it is "bacterial SSU rRNA". It matches the Rfam family "Bacterial small subunit ribosomal RNA", at positions 355 to 773 of the family's 1533-position model. The record is from RNAcentral.